UUGGGACACAGAGGUGGGCCAGGCCCCUGGGCCAGUGCCACUGCCAGGUGUGCCAGCCUUGGGCACAGGCUUUGGGGGAAAGAGUGGGGUUAGUGUCAUCCGAAAGCCCUGGCCUGCCCUCAGAGAAGGCCCAUCACAGAGCACGCCCUGGGAUGGCCACCAGCCUCGGCCAUGAAAGGCAAGGCUUUGGUUUUCUCUCUCCUCAGAAAUCAACGACCGGGAGCAGAAGUUGCAUGCCCUUAAGGAGGUAUUAAAGAAAUUUCCAAAGGAAAACCACGAGGUCUUCAAGUAUGUCAUCUCUCACCUAAACAAGGUCAGCCACAACAACAAGGUGAAUCUCAUGACCAGCGAGAACCUCUCCAUCUGCUUCUGGCCCACCUUGAUGAGACCUGAUUUCAGCACUAUGGACGCCCUCACAGCCACGCGCACCUACCAGACAAUCAUUGAACUCUUCAUCCAGCAGUGCCCCUUCUUCUUCUACAAUCGGCCCAUCACCGAGCCCCCCGGCGCCAGGCCCAGCUCCCCCUCCGCCGUGGCUUCCACCGUCCCCUUCCUCACUUCCACGCCUGUCACAAGUCAGCCGUCGCCCCCACAGUCACCUCCACCCACCCCCCAGUCCCCAAUGCAGCCACUGCUUCCCUCCCAGCUUCAAGCCGAACACACACUGUGAGCCACCAAGACCUGGGGCAACAGGAGAACCGGUCUUCUCUCUGACGGGUUGGCAUUUGGCCUUGAACAAAACCAAGUCCACUGGGGACAGAGGCAGGGGCAAGUGGCUCUCCCCAUCACCUUCUCAAGACCUCAGUGGGAGCACCAGCCAAUGGUACCAUGGGCCGGGCUGCCAGGUACCCUGGGCCCGGCGCUGCAGACCUGAGCUGGCUGCAGGCAGCAGCCGUGGGGCCCUGUCCUUUGACUUGGACCCAUUUGAGGACUGAACUAGGCAGGCAAUGGCCCCAGUGCCCUCC
RNAcentral lists this small RNA (965 nucleotides) under Pongo abelii (Sumatran orangutan). RNAcentral describes it as "retained intron". Lineage: Eukaryota; Metazoa; Chordata; Mammalia; Primates; Hominidae. The record is from RNAcentral.